AGAGUUUGAUCCUGGCUCAGAACGAACGCUGGCGGCAGGCUUAACACAUGCAAGUCGAGCGCCCCGCAAGGGGAGCGGCAGACGGGUGAGUAACACGUGGGAACAUACCCAUCUCUGCGGAACAACUCCGGGAAACUGGAGCUAAUACCGCAUACGCCCUUCGGGGGAAAGAUUUAUCGGAGAUGGAUUGGCCCGCGUUGGAUUAGCUAGUUGGUGGGGUAAAGGCCUACCAAGGCGACGAUCCAUAGCUGGUCUGAGAGGAUGAUCGGCCACAUUGGGACUGAGACACGGCCCAAACUCCUACGGGAGGCAGCAGUGGGGAAUAUUGGACAAUGGGCGCAAGCCUGAUCCAGCCAUGCCGCGUGAGUGAUGAAGGCCUUAGGGUUGUAAAGCUCUUUCACCGAUGAAGAUAAUGACGGUAGUCGGAGAAGAAGCCCCGGCUAACUUCGUG
Molecule: ribosomal RNA, 451 nt
Filed under: uncultured Rhizobium sp.
Lineage: Bacteria; Pseudomonadati; Pseudomonadota; Alphaproteobacteria; Hyphomicrobiales; Rhizobiaceae
Description: bacterial SSU rRNA
Rfam family: Bacterial small subunit ribosomal RNA
Source: RNAcentral